GCCGGGUGUGGUGGUGCAUGCCUGUAAUCCCAGUGGCUCAGGAGGCUGAGGCAGGAGGAUCUCCAGUUCAAAGCCAGCCUCAGCAAAAAGCAAGGCACUAAACUAAACUCAGUGAGAUGCUGUCUCUA
RNAcentral lists this small RNA (128 nucleotides) under Marmota monax (woodchuck). Lineage: Eukaryota; Metazoa; Chordata; Mammalia; Rodentia; Sciuridae. The record is from RNAcentral.